GACUGGAGUACUGCAGGGGAGACUGGAAUUCCUGGUGUAGCGGUGGAAUGCGCAGAUAUCAGGAGGAACACCGGUGGCGAAGGCGGGUCUCUGGGCAGUAACUGACGCUGAGGAGCGAAAGCGUGGGGAGCGAACAGGAUUAGAUACCCUGGUAGUCCACGCCGUAAACGGUGGGUACUAGGUGUGGGUUUCUUCCUUGGGAUCCGUGCCGUAGCUAACGCAUUAAGUACCCCGCCUGGGGAGUACGGCCGCAAGGCUAAAACUCAAAGAAAUUGACGGGGGCCCGCACAAGCGGCGGAGCAUGUGGAUUAAUUCGAUGCAACGCGAAGAACCUUACCUGGGUUUGACAUGCACAGGACGCUGGUAGAGAUAUCAGUUCCCUUGUGGCCUGUGUGCAGGUGGUGCAUGGCUGUCGUCAGCUCGUGUCGUGAGAUGUUGGGUUAAGUCCCGCAACGAGCGCAACCCUUGUCUCAUGUUGCCAGCACGUAAUGGUGGGGACUCGUGAGAGACUGCCGGGGUCAACUCGGAGGAAGGUGGGGAUGACGUCAAGUCAUCAUGCCCCUUAUGUCCAGGGCUUCACACAUGCUACAAUGGCCGGUACAAAGGGCUGCGAUGCCGUGAGGUGGAGCGAAUCCUUUCAAAGCCGGUCUCAGUUCGGAUCGGGGUCUGCAACUCGACCCCGUGAAGUCGGAGUCGCUAGUAAUCGCAGAUCAGCAACGCUGCGGUGAAUACGUUCCCGGGCCUUGUACACACCGCCCGUCACGUCAUGAAAGUCGGUAACACCCGAAGCCGGUGGCCUAACCC
Molecule: ribosomal RNA, 804 nt
Filed under: Mycolicibacterium madagascariense
Lineage: Bacteria; Bacillati; Actinomycetota; Actinomycetes; Mycobacteriales; Mycobacteriaceae
Description: bacterial SSU rRNA
Rfam family: Bacterial small subunit ribosomal RNA
Source: RNAcentral